RNAcentral lists this ribosomal RNA (772 nucleotides) under uncultured Neocallimastigales. Its description in RNAcentral is "partial large subunit ribosomal RNA". It matches the Rfam family "Eukaryotic large subunit ribosomal RNA", at positions 23 to 645 of the family's 3401-position model. The record is from RNAcentral. Lineage: Eukaryota; Fungi; Neocallimastigomycota; Neocallimastigomycetes; Neocallimastigales.
AGAGAGAGACAUGCGCGCAUAUCAAUAAGCGGAGGAAAAGAAACUAACUAGGAUUCCCUCAGUAACGGCGAGUGAAGCGGGAAGAGCUCAAAUUUGAAAUCUUCAAGGUUCUACCUUGACGAAUUGUAGUUUAAAGAAGUGUUUUCUGUUGGAGUUUUGGUAAAAGUUCUUUGGAAUAGGACAUCAUAGAGGGUGAGAAUCCCGUAUUUGACCAUUAUUUCCAGCUUUGUGAUACACUUUCAAAGAGUCGGAUUGUUUGGGAAUGCAGUCCAAAAUGGGUGGUAAAUUUCAUCUAAAGCUAAAUAUUGGCGAGAGACCGAUAGCGAACAAGUACCGUGAGGGAAAGAUGAAAAGAACUUUGAAAAGAGAGUUAAACAGUACGUGAAAUUGUCAAAAGGGAAGCGUUUGACACCAGUGUUGUUUUCUCGAAAAUCAAUUAAAAAAGGCAGGAUUUUGUGUUGUAUUGACUUUAUCAGCUUUCUGCACUCUUUUCUUGUCUUUUUUAAUGCACUUUUCGUUAACAAGUCAACAUCAAUUUCUUUUGUUGUAAAAGGGUCAUUGGAAGGUGGCUUUCUUUUCGGAGAAAGUGUUUAUAGCCUUUGGCCUCUGCAAUCGGAGAGAUUGAGGUCUGCAGCGUAGAUCCUUCGGGGUUAGAUACAUUUGUGCUAAGUUAUAGCCUUUCAUAGACAACUUGUUGACUAUGAUCAGUCAUGUAGCUUACUCGCUUAUGCUAUUUUACCUACGCUUAGGAUGUUGAUGUGAUACUGCGAGC